GACAGAGUGAGUUCAUUACAGAUCACUGACACUGAGACCUUCGACUGAGAAAAGAAGCCAUUUAAGGUCAGGAAACAGAAUAAAAUCUUAUUAUUUUCCUAGUGUACAGGUACAGUACAGGUACACUGUCUACAGGUACAGUACAGGUACACUGUCUACAGGUACACUGUCUACAGGUACAGUACAGGUACACUGUCUAAAGGUACAGUACAGGUACACUGUCUACAGGUACACUGUCUAAAGGUACAGUACAGGUACACUGUCUACAGGUACACUGUCUACAGGUACAGUACAGGUACAAUGUCUACAGGUACAGUGUCUACAGGUACAAAACAGGUACACUGUCUACAAGUACACUGCCUACAGGUACACUUUCUCUUUUCUCUCUUUCUUUGUGUCUCCUUUUGCAGUCUGUCUCUCUCUCCCUUCCUGUCUCUCUCUCUAUGUCCCUGUUUCCUUUUACCCCCUUUUCUUUCUUCCUC
Ictalurus punctatus (channel catfish) is the source of this 482-nucleotide long non-coding RNA. NCBI's taxonomy places the organism in Eukaryota, Metazoa, Chordata, Actinopteri, Siluriformes, Ictaluridae. The record is from Ensembl.